UAACACAUGCAAGUCGAACGAUGAUAGAGAGCUUGCUUUCUUGAUUAGUGGCGCACGGGUGAGUAAUGCAUAGAUAAUGUGCCCUUAGUUCGGGAUAGCCACUGGAAACGGUGAUUAAUACCGGAUACUCCUUCUUGUUAUAAGACAAGUCGGGAAAGUUUUUCGCUAAGGGAUCAGUCUAUGUUCCAUCAGCUUGUUGGUGAGGUAAUGGCUCACCAAGGCUAUGACGGAUAUCUGGUUUGAGAGGAUGAUCAGACACACUGGAACUGAGACACGGUCCAGACUCCUACGGGAGGCAGCAGUGAGGAAUAUUGCACAAUGGAGGAAACUCUGAUGCAGCAACGCCGCGUGGAGGAUGACGCAUUUCGGUGUGUAAACUCCUUUUAUUAGGAAAGAUAAUGACGGUACCUAAUGAAUAAGCACCGGCUAACUCCGUGCCAGCAGCCGCGGUAAUACGGAGGGUGCAAGCGUUACUCGGAAUCACUGGGCGUAAAGGGUGCGUAGGCUGGCUUUUAAGUCAGAUGUGAAAUCCAAUGGCUCAACCAUUGAACUGCAUUUGAAACUGAAAGCCUAGAGUUCAGAAGGGGCAGAUGGAAUUAGUGGUGUAGGGGUAAAAUCCGUAGAUAUCACUAGGAAUAUCAAAAGCGAAGGCGAUCUGCUGGGAUGAUACUGACGCUGA
RNAcentral lists this ribosomal RNA (679 nucleotides) under uncultured bacterium. RNAcentral describes it as "bacterial SSU rRNA". It matches the Rfam family "Bacterial small subunit ribosomal RNA", at positions 49 to 749 of the family's 1533-position model. The record is from RNAcentral.